GAUGAACGCUAGCGGCAGGCCUAACACAUGCAAGUCGAGGGAGAGGUUAUCUUCGGGUAACCAAAACCGGCGCACGGGUGCGUAACGCGUAUACAAUCUGCCUUUCACAUAGGGAUAGCCCGAAGAAAUUUGGAUUAAUACCUAAUGGUAUAUAAGAGCGGCAUCGUUUUUAUAUUAAAGCUACGGUGGUGAAAGAUGAGUAUGCGUUCUAUUAGCUAGUUGAAGAGGUAACGGCUCCCCAAGGCGACGAUAGAUAGGGGUUCUGAGAGGGAUGUCCCCCACACUGGUACUGAGAUACGGACCAGACUCCUACGGGAGGCAGCAGUGAGGAAUACUGGACAAUGGUCGGAAGACUGAUCCAGCCAUGCCGCGUGCAGGAUGAAGGUCCUAUGGAUUGUAAAUUGCUUUUGUAAGGGAAGAAUAAGGAGUACGUGUACUUUGAUGACGGUACCUUACGAAUAAGCAUCGGCUAACUCCGUGCCAGCAGCCGCGGUAAUACGGAGGAUGCGAGCGUUAUCCGGAAUCAUUGGGUUUAAAGGGUCCGUAGGCGGGCUGAUAAGUCAGAGGUGAAAGCGCUUAGCUCAACUAAGCAACUGCCUUUGAAACUGUCAGUCUUGAAUGAUUGUGAAGUAGUUGGAAUGUGUAGUGUAGCGGUGAAAUGCUUAGAUAUUACACAGAACACCGAUAGCGAAGGCAUAUUACUAACAAUUUAUUGACGCUGAUGGACAAAAGCGUGGGGGAGCGAACAGG
RNAcentral lists this ribosomal RNA (750 nucleotides) under uncultured Capnocytophaga sp. RNAcentral's name for it is "bacterial SSU rRNA". It matches the Rfam family "Bacterial small subunit ribosomal RNA", at positions 28 to 776 of the family's 1533-position model. The record is from RNAcentral. Lineage: Bacteria; Pseudomonadati; Bacteroidota; Flavobacteriia; Flavobacteriales; Flavobacteriaceae.